Non-coding RNA from Chelonoidis abingdonii (Abingdon island giant tortoise), 810 nucleotides. Lineage: Eukaryota; Metazoa; Chordata; Testudines; Testudinidae. The record is from RefSeq and is a predicted model, not a curated record.
UGAGGGGAUGGGUCCCCUCUGCAGGAGCUGUACGCAGGCAAAGGACAGCUGCAGGAGAUGUUAGAGGUGAGGCAGAGAGAUUGAUCCUGCCUGGAGCUCCUAAGGCCAAUCUUGUGCAGGCCUGCGGGGAUGCCAAGGGAGCUGCAAGCAGACCAAACCCCUAGUAAGUUGGGAGUUGGGAAGAGAGACUCGGUGGGGGUAGGACCAGAUUCUCCACUAAGGAAGAGUCCUAUGCAGCACUCCAGGGGGCGAGCCGCCAUCUAAGCAAUGGGACGGGGGUACCCAGAGUCUGCACAGCUGAGGACUGCAGCAGCAUCUGGCUCAGGCACCCAUUCUGUCAAAACAGAGCAGAGAGCAGCUGCCUCUUCCUUAACACGGCAGUUCAAGAAACCAAGAUGACGAGGCUCAUUUGGGUCCUGCUCGAGUUCAGCAGACAGCCUUUGGCACAGAGACAGAUUCACACUGGAGUUUGCAUCUCCCAACAGUGGGACAGAAUCCUUCCGUCGACCCAGUUCCCAUCUCUCGGAGAGGUGGAUUUGCUACAGAGAUGGAAAACGCCUGCCAUCGGCUGCAGCGUUGCGAGCACAGAUGUAGCCUUACUCUGACACCCCUGGUAGAACUUUACACCCAGUUUGCUGUGGGGGUCUAAAAAUGGGUGCUCAGCACAGGGUGGGUUUCCAAGGCAGCUGUUUUUCAGGCUGUAAUUUUAAACCUGGUCAAUUUCUCCCUUCACCAUCAGUAUAAUUUGCCUGUAAAAAAUUCCCCAAUGUUGAAUGGAAGUUUUUACCACGUUUCCAGUGUCAGUAAUGA